This 874-nucleotide long non-coding RNA is filed under the name Meleagris gallopavo (turkey). Its description in RNAcentral is "lncRNA (ENSMGAG00000022998.1)". The record is from RNAcentral. Lineage: Eukaryota; Metazoa; Chordata; Aves; Galliformes; Phasianidae.
UGGAAAUGCUUAAUGCUGACUUAUUUCAGAGCUCACCCCGUGCUGCAGCGUGCGAGUAGAGGAGGGCGAGCGUGCACAACUGCCCCUCUAUGGGAUGAUUCUCCUUUCCUUCCUCUUUCUACGUCUUUCUUUUUUUUUUCCUUUCUUUUCUCUUUUUUCCCUAUUUAUUUGUUCAUUUCUGGUUGGUGUUUUAAAGCCCCCCUUCAUAUCUCAGGACGGCUCUAUCUCAGGGAGUUGGGGCUGUGCUAUUGUCCACAGCCCGAGUUGCUGUACAAGGAGAAGCUGCAUUGCAUUCAUGUAUUCGUGCACGUUCCGCUCCUCCCAUGAUAUGGGGAUUCACUCCACAGGUGCUGCAUGGAGCAAAUCCCCCAAUUCCAGUCCUGCAGUGCAAGUUCUGGGGGGAUACUCUCCAUAUUUAAGGCUGCUGGUACAGCAAAUGGCAUCUUGGUUUUCCCUUAAUUGUCUGCCCACCCAACCCAUUCUCACUGAAGUCCCAAACCCUUCUCAGCUCUCUGUGUUGCUUUCCAGCUCCCACAUGGUUGGAGGCACUGGCAGGAGGAGCUGUAGCCCACGGCCAGGUGAGGGCAGUUUAAGGACACACAAGAGCUUUGCCCUGCUAAGCUGUGCAUUCAGCUGCUGGCACUGUGAUUCCUGGCCAACAGCUGAUGCACUGCAGCCCCUAAGGGAAGAAGGAAAGACAGUGGAUCAUUCCCCCCACAAGCUGUGGGGGUGCAGUUGCAGGUUGAUAGCACCUGGAAGGCAAAAAACAAAACAAAACAAAACCCAACACAAAAGUCCUGAGGUGGUAAUGCAUGCAUGUUCAUGUCUUCAUGUAGAGUGUUCGUCAGUGCCUUAUGUCAUGAUUUACAAAUAA